RNAcentral lists this ribosomal RNA (346 nucleotides) under Oenococcus oeni. RNAcentral describes it as "bacterial LSU rRNA". It matches the Rfam family "Bacterial large subunit ribosomal RNA", at positions 1 to 349 of the family's 2925-position model. Lineage: Bacteria; Bacillati; Bacillota; Bacilli; Lactobacillales; Lactobacillaceae. The record is from RNAcentral.
AUAGGUUAAGUUAAUAAGGGCGCAUGGUGGAUGCCUUGGCACUAGAAGGCGAUGAAGGACGUGACUAACUACGAUAUGCCUCGGUUAGCUGUAAGUAAGCUUACCCGGGGGUUUCCGAAUGGGGCAACCCGAUCUUAAUGAUCAUCAUCUUUUUGAAUUCAUAGAUUAGAUGAAGCAAACGCUGUGAACUGAAACAUCUCAGUAGCAGUAGGAAAGUAAAGAAAUUUCGAUUCCGUCAGUAGCGGCGAGCGAACGCGGAAGAGCCCAAACCUGGAUGCUUGCAUCCAGGGGUUGUAGGACUGAUGUUGAGUUACAAAGGUAUAAGAUAGCAGAAACAGUUGGGAAG